Molecule: transfer RNA, 92 nt
Filed under: Aspergillus alliaceus
Lineage: Eukaryota; Fungi; Ascomycota; Eurotiomycetes; Eurotiales; Aspergillaceae
Rfam family: tRNA
About the family: Transfer RNA (tRNA) molecules are approximately 80 nucleotides in length. Their secondary structure includes four short double-helical elements and three loops (D, anti-codon, and T loops).
Source: Rfam by way of RNAcentral
GACAGUGUGGCCGAGUGGUCUAAGGCGUAUGACUCGAACUAAAGCGAAAUCAUAUAUCUUCGGAUGCGUGUGUUCAAAUCACACCGCUGUCG